GACGAACGCUGGCGGCGUGCCUAAUACAUGCAAGUCGAGCGCAGGAAAUCGACGGAACCCUUCGGGGGGAAGUCGACGGAAUGAGCGGCGGACGGGUGAGUAACACGUAAAGAACCUGCCCUCAGGUCUGGGAUAACCACGAGAAAUCGGGGCUAAUACCGGAUGGGUCAUCGGACCGCAUGGUUCGAGGAUGAAAGGCGCUUCGGCGUCGCCUGGGGAUGGCUUUGCGGUGCAUUAGCUAGUUGGUGGGGUAAUGGCCCACCAAGGCGACGAUGCAUAGCCGACCUGAGAGGGUGAUCGGCCACACUGGGACUGAGACACGGCCCAGACUCCUACGGGAGUCAGCAGUAGGGAAUCUUCCACAAUGGACGAAAGUCUGAUGGAGCAACGCCGCGUGAACGAUGAAGGCCUUCGGGUCGUAAAGUUCUGUUGUAAGGGAAGAACAAGUGCCGCAGGCAAUGGCGGCACCUUGACGGUACCUUGCGAGAAAGCCACGGCUAACUACGUGCCAGCCGCCGCUGUAA
RNAcentral lists this ribosomal RNA (524 nucleotides) under uncultured bacterium. Its description in RNAcentral is "partial 16S ribosomal RNA". It matches the Rfam family "Bacterial small subunit ribosomal RNA", at positions 28 to 523 of the family's 1533-position model. The record is from RNAcentral.